GAAAAAUAAAAAUUUAGCCUAUCCCAUGUCGAUUGCCGUGUAAAGAUUUUGACGACUUCUUAUUGGCUACUCCAACAUCAAAACCAUCUCCUACGGAUGGCUCAAUUCUAAAAUCUGCAAAGUGUGGCAACAGGCAAUAUUACGUUUCAACAGCUAAAGU
Cloeon dipterum is the source of this 160-nucleotide long non-coding RNA. RefSeq lists it as uncharacterized. The transcript is spliced from 3 exons. The record is from RefSeq and is a predicted model, not a curated record. NCBI's taxonomy places the organism in Eukaryota, Metazoa, Arthropoda, Insecta, Ephemeroptera, Baetidae.